RNAcentral lists this ribosomal RNA (782 nucleotides) under uncultured bacterium. RNAcentral describes it as "bacterial SSU rRNA". It matches the Rfam family "Bacterial small subunit ribosomal RNA", at positions 8 to 798 of the family's 1533-position model. The record is from RNAcentral.
AGAGUUUGAUCAUGGCUCAGAUUGAACGCUGGCGGUAUGCCUAACACAUGCAAGUCGAACGAGGUAGCAAUACCUAGUGGCGGACGGGUGAGGAAUACGUAGGGAUCUGCCCUUAAGUGGGGGAUAACCCGGGGAAACCCGGAUUAAUACCGCAUGAUCUCGCAAGAGCAAAGAGGGGGACCGCAAGGCCUCUCGCUUUUGGAGGAACCUACGUCGGAUUAGCUAGUUGGUGAGGUAAUGGCUCACCAAGGCGACGAUCCGUAACUGGUCUGAGAGGAUGAUCAGUCACACCGGAACUGAGACACGGUCCGGACUCCUACGGGAGGCAGCAGUGGGGAAUAUUGGACAAUGGGCGAAAGCCUGAUCCAGCAAUACCGCGUGUGUGAAGAAGGCCUUCGGGUUGUAAAGCACUUUAAGUUGGGAAGAAAAAGCUUCACCUAAUACGUGAAGCCUUGACGGUACCGACAGAAUAAGCACCGGCUAACUCUGUGCCAGCAGCCGCGGUAAUACAGAGGGUGCUAGCGUUAAUCGGAUUUACUGGGCGUAAAGCGUGCGUAGGUGGUUUGAUAAGUCGAUUGUGAAAGCCCCGGGCUUAACCUGGGAAUUGCGGUCGAUACUGUCAGACUCGAAAACGGUAGAGGGAGGUGGAACUCCAGGUGUAGCGGUGAAAUGCGUAGAUAUCUGGAAGAACACCGAUGGCGAAGGCAGCUUCCUGGGCCUGUUUUGACACUGAGGCACGAAAGCGUGGGUAGCAAACAGGAUUAGAUACCCUGGUAGUCCAA